This 4551-nucleotide unclassified non-coding RNA is filed under the name Hevea brasiliensis (rubber tree). The record is from RNAcentral. Lineage: Eukaryota; Viridiplantae; Streptophyta; Magnoliopsida; Malpighiales; Euphorbiaceae.
ACCGACCCUUCCAACCUUCAUCCCAAACGGUACGGUUGAAUUCUCUGUGAGAUAUGUAGUGUAAAGAUAGAGCAAGUUCACGAGCUAGCUAUCUUUCUUCUGCAACUCUCUUCCCUUCUUUCUGUUAUUCAAAUUCGUAAAAAAAAUACACACCCAUCUGGGUUGGUGCGUUUCUCACGAGCUUAGACCCAUCUCCGGUCUUUUUCUUCACCAUCCAAUCCUGUGGUCCACGUCCAGCCACUUAAUCAUCACAACAGUACAUCCACCUCAACCUUCUUUCCCUUCGAUCUCUCUCGAUCAGGGCUUCCUCUGAUGAUGAUGAUAAUGUGACUUAUUGUCUUGAACUUUUUAUUUGGUGGGUUUUCCUUUUCUUUUCAUUAGAGGUUGAGAGUACAGAGAAUGGAUCGUUCGGCGGUUACCGUAGGUCCCGGUAUGGAUAUGCCGAUUAUGCACGAUAGUGACCGUUACGAGCUGGUGCGAGAUAUCGGGUCUGGGAAUUUCGGAGUGGCGAGAUUGAUGAGAGAUAAGCAGACUGACGAGCUCGUUGCCGUCAAGUAUAUCGAGAGAGGUGAGAAGGUUAGUGUGGUCUAAUUUGCCUUUUUUAUUUAUGUGAUUACUAUUCAUUAGAUAGGGUUUUGAGCAUUUUUUUCAUUUAUAGUUAGUGGUUAAGUUUUAAGUUUCUUGUAUAGAUAGGCGUUUGAGCUCGAAUUUAGUGGCUUAUCAGCUUCAUAAGCAUUUAUGUUAGGCUAGAUUUUGAGUACAUUUAUGUUUCAACUUUCAAGAUUGGUGAUUCCUAAUUUAGGAUAAGAUUAAUUGCAUGAGUUAUCUAUGCUCUCAGUUUGAAUUCAUUUCAUAUAUCAUUGAAGCGAUUUGCUUGGGUUACUCUUGUUCAAGGGCUAGUAGGUGUUUGCUUCAGUGUCGAACCAAACCGGCUAGCAGCUACUUCAUUAAUUUUUUUAUUUUCCAACGUUAUAUCAAGCAUUAUUUUGAUAGGUUUUAUUAAGCUGCAAUUGUAUUAAGAUUUAUCUCUGGAAAUGGAGGAUUCUACAGCUAGGUACUGGUGGAUGAAGUGAGAAUACGUGGAUGCCCAUGGAAUCUAGAAAUUAUUAUUUGUUUCCUAUAUAUGAACGUCAACAACAUUCAUUUGCUACAGAACAGAACACUAAGGGGGGAAAAGAGUGGUCGCUUUUCUCAAAAAGGAGCUUGAAAAGUUAGAAGGAUGAGGACCAAGAAUCUUCAAUUCAUACCAUUCAUUUUGAGUUUUCAUUCUGAGAAAUAUGUGGAUAGCAUCAUUUAGGUUAUGGGUUAUUUAGCUGGCUGGAUUCUAUGUAAUUUGGUCCCCUUCCUAGCUUUUGUAGAAGUCUUUACUUUUGAUAUUGGGAUUUACCUUGCUUUUAUUUUUUGUUUAACAGAUAGAUGAAAAUGUACAAAGGGAAAUUAUUAACCACAGGUCAUUGAGGCAUCCUAACAUUGUCAGAUUCAAAGAGGUCUGUGAAUUUGCAUAGUUUGUAUUUUCUUCUUCCCGAAGGGGUUAUCAAUAAUUUAUAUAGCAACUAUAGGUCAUAUUAACACCAACACACCUGGCUAUUGUGAUGGAGUAUGCAUCUGGUGGAGAACUUUUUGAGCGGAUUUGCAAUGCAGGCCGCUUCAGUGAGGAUGAGGUUCCUACUCAACAAAUUGAUUUCGUAUUAGGGUCAUCAAUUUUUUCUUAAUCUGCUUUGGGUUACAAUGCAGGCUCGAUUUUUCUUCCAACAACUUAUAUCAGGAGUUAGCUACUGUCAUGCAAUGCAAGUAUGCCACCGUGACUUAAAAUUGGAGAAUACAUUGUUGGAUGGAAGCCCAGCACCUCGUCUGAAGAUUUGUGACUUUGGUUACUCUAAGUCAUCGGUUCUCCAUUCACAACCAAAAUCUGCUGUUGGAACUCCUGCAUAUAUUGCACCUGAAGUGUUACUUAAGAAGGAAUAUGAUGGCAAGAUUGCAGAUGUAUGGUCUUGUGGGGUAACUUUGUAUGUAAUGUUGGUGGGAGCAUAUCCUUUUGAGGACCCGGACGAGCCUAAGAAUUUUCACAAGACAAUACUUCGAAUUUUGAAAGUCCAGUACUCAAUUCCUGACUAUGUUCAUAUAUCUCCUGAGUGCCAGUAUCUGAUUUCAAGAAUAUUUGUGGCUGACCCUGCAAAGAGGAUAAGCAUUCCUGAGAUUAGGAAUCACGAGUGGUUUCUGAAGAAUCUUCCAGCAGAUCUCAUGGAUGAAAAUGCAAUGAACAACCAGUUUGAAGAGCCUGAUCAGCCCAUGCAGAGCAUCGAUGAAAUCAUGCAGAUAAUAUCUGAAGCCACCAUCCCAGCAGCCGGUGCCCGUAGUCUCAAUCAAUAUCUGACUGGAAGCCUGGACAUUGAUGAUGAGAUGGACGAGGAUCUAGAGACUGAUCCUGAGCUUGACAUGGAUAGUAGUGGAGAGAUAGUAUAUGCCAUGUGAAUGGAGGACAGAACCUGCACCAUUUCUUUGGCAAUUAUAGUUAGAAAUUUGUGAUAUGAGCUGAGAAUCAAUGCACAAGAAUCCUGUCAUUUAUCACCUCUAAUGGAAUGAGUAUACUCCUGUAAUGUGGUUGCUACUUCAUAGUGGCAUAUGGACUGUUGUGCUCGCUUUGUAACAUGGUAAUGUAAUAAAGACAAGUCUUAGUCUGUGCUUAAUAGUAUCACUUACUGAUGUUUCUCUACAGAAGUGUAUCCAUAAUUAUGUUUGAUUGGAUUUAGUACUCGCUUCUCUUUUGACGAUUUGUUACUGGCUGCGGUUGGCUUGGUCUUAUGAAGCUUUUUCGUGCUUUUGGGUAGUUUUAGAUCUCAUAAAGAGGUAGUGGCACUGAAUUUCAAAUGGUUUGAUCGCGAGUAACGGGCAUAUUCAUAAGAAGACAGAAAUUGUCAUAUCUUUGGAAAAAGGUUCAAUAUAUGGAGAAAAUCACUCAUGCAUCGAGUCCGAUAUCAACCAGUCAACAACGAGAUUUUUCUUUGACGGAGAAAAGAAUUUCAUUCGAAAGAUCAACUAAAGCAGCAGCUACAAUCAAAUCAGGAAGGGCAGCACCCCAUGCUUCAAGACUAGACACAGAAUGCGCUGUCACUGUCAAUAAAUGGGUAGCGUUCGCUGAUCUACUAACAUUGGUCCAGAAAGCAGAACUUGGCAAGCUGCAACAACUGCCCCAUUCUUGUCCCUAAGAAUCCAACCAGCUCCAAGCUUCUAGGCACCACUGAACAAAGCAGCAUCCGUGUUGCACUUGAGAUAACCCAACAGGUGGUUUUGUCCAUAAAGCAUUCCAUGAACAGCCCCUACAUUACCAAACAUACUACACUGGACAUGAACAUCAACAUGGGCAGACCGCCAGCUAUGAAGCAAAGAAGAUACCAUAUUAACAAGCUGAGGGACUGACGAAUCAAAUCCAUUCCAAACAUGUUUCUGCACUUCCACAAUCACGACAGAACCAUACGAGCCAUAGCAAUAUCCUCCAACCCAAGGCUUUGAAACUUCAUGGUUAAACAGCUAUGAACAUUGGAAAUAGAAUUACCAGGAGACAGAGGACCGCAUAACAACACAGGAAGCACAGCUGCCCAGCAACCCCUAGCAAAACCAGAGUCGGAAAAGACAUGGGAACUCGUCUCCACAGCAGAACCACACGCCGGACAAUCAACAUCAACAUCCACACGAGAAAUUAUUAAGUGCAUGUGGUACACUUAAAAAAGGGGAUUUGAACCCGACAAAUGUGCGAGUGUUAUUCACGCAUAAUUAUUUCUAUAAUACAUAAAAGGUUGGAACCUCAGCUUUCCGCUGCUUGGUUUCAAGUCAAUUAGAACAUUUUGUUUUCCAAGGCAGUGUCCGUAAGCACAAUAUCACAUUUUAUGGCUCAAUAAUCCUAGCAUGGAAGCAUCUAUCAAGUUCUAGCAAACAACUAUAAAGCCCAUAUGGAGGGGACUGCAGCCAAAGAACCUAACUCUCCUAUUGCUAACGACCAAGGAGUUCCAAUGUUCCAUCUUUAUGACAUCACCAACCAGAGCCAUAUGAAAAAUUCUACAUAAAUAAUGCCAAUUCAUUGAGCUUAAUCUUCCUGCAAGUGAAGUUGCAACAUGAUAUCAAAUGACAAUGGUGAGAACUAGUCUCAUCAUUCUGAUUUACACCAGACCAGAAACAUGGAUUUUUUUUUUUUCCCUUAUAGAAAUUCCAAUCCAACCACAACCUAGGACCAAAUCUGUUAAAAUUAUCUAAAGCUCAAUCUUUUCAACUGACAGCUAAUCGUACUUGUUCUCAAGUUUAAAUGCAGUUAAACAUGAAAAAUAAAGACACAAGACAAAAUUUCCCAACAUUAUAAGCCUAUAAAUGCGAACCCCUCAUGGUAUAAUUUAGUAUACAACAGCGAAAGGGACUCUCAUGUAAAUCAACAUUAGGGAAAUGGAACAGAUAUUAGAAAGGGAUGUAAAAGCCACCUUCAAACAGCUUGAAAUUCAGCUUUGAGAAGGAACUGCUUCCUGCACAGCAGGAUUUGAAUUCCCAUCAUGAGUUUCAGCUCCA